RNAcentral lists this ribosomal RNA (483 nucleotides) under uncultured bacterium. RNAcentral describes it as "partial 16S ribosomal RNA". It matches the Rfam family "Bacterial small subunit ribosomal RNA", at positions 29 to 506 of the family's 1533-position model. The record is from RNAcentral.
AUUGAACGCUGGCGGAAUGCUUUACACAUGCAAGUCGAGCGGCAGCGCGGCCUUCGGGCUGGCGGCGAGCGGCGAACGGGUGAGUAAUGCAUCGGAACAUGCCCAGUCGUGGGGGAUAACACUUCGAAAGAAGUGCUAAUACCGCAUACGUCCUGAGGGGGAAAGCGGGGGAUCGCAAGACCUCGCGCGAUUGGAGUGGCCGAUGUCAGAUUAGCUAGUUGGUGGGGUAAAGGCCUACCAAGGCGACGAUCUGUAGCUGGUCUGAGAGGAUGAUCAGCCACACUGGGACUGAGACACGGCCCAGACUCCUACGGGAGGCAGCAGUGGGGAAUUUUGGACAAUGGGGGCAACCCUGAUCCAGCCAUUCCGCGUGAGUGAAGAAGGCCUGCGGGUUGUAAAGCUCUUUCGGCAGGAACGAAACGGUGGGCUCUAACAUAGUCCGCUAAUGACGGUACCUGAAGAAGAAGCACCGGCUAACUACGU